CAGCCGCCGCGGGAACACGUAGGGUGCGAGCGUUAAUCGGAAUUACCGGGCGUAAAGCGUGCGCAGGCGGUUGUGUAAGACAGGUGUGAAAUCCCCGGGCUUAACCUGGGAACUGCGCUUGUGACUGCACAGCUAGAGUAUGGCAGAGGGGGGUGGAAUUCCACGUGUAGCAGUGAAAUGCGUAGAGAUGUGGAGGAACACCGAUGGCGAAGGCAGCCCCCUGGGCCAAUACUGACGCUCAUGCACGAAAGCGUGGGGAGCAAACAGGAUUAGAGACCCCAGUAGUCCCUGUCUCUUAUAA
Molecule: ribosomal RNA, 301 nt
Filed under: uncultured bacterium
Lineage: Bacteria
Description: partial 16S ribosomal RNA
Rfam family: Bacterial small subunit ribosomal RNA
Source: RNAcentral